UGUUAUUAGAACUGGCAUGUAACUUUUCGGCGUAAUAAGAAGACUUACCUGUCAAUCGUAAAUAAAAUCUUUCCUAUCUUAAUUCUCGUCAUUUCGCACCGAACAUCUGAUCUGGUGUAUAGAUCAAAAUGGCUAGAACCCGAAGAGGAGUCGGGAACGUGAAUGGAGAUAGGAAUCAAUAGCCCCUAGUGGCUGAACAAAUACGUGUUGUAGUAACCGCACCUGAGCCAAUAACGAUGGUCGGGGUACAAGCGAUGAUCCAAAUGAUGUUGGAUCGUCAAAUGGAGGAAACAAGGUGUUUACUUCAACAGAACCAAGAAGAACUUACGGUACCAAUUGAACAGCCCGAGCUGAAUGAUGGGCAGUCAGAAGGAGAAAACUACAGUGGAACUGUUGGUCAAGCCAACCCACCGAUAGUUAGGCGAAACUACUAGGAUGGAGGAAACGACGGACGUGGAUGCAAAUACAAGGAUUUCAUGGCAUCCAAACCAACGAGUCUAUCCGGAAGCCCGACGCCGGUGGAAGUUAUGAACUGGAUCUCCGAAAUGGAGACAAUGUUUGAGAGUUGCGAGUCUAGCAACAGACAGAAAAUCGCUCUUGAAAUCUGGAGUACUGAGCUGGGGGAAGCUACUAGCUGAUUCUAUGCCUAAGGGAGAAGCUAGUAAGGAGUCUUUGGAGGAUUUUCUGGUGCAACUGGAGAUGCAAUACUGCUCUGAGCAGGAUCUUGUGGAGAUCAACAAUGGGUUCCAAAAUUUGAAGAAAGGAAGAAUGAGCGUUAUAGAAUACGCUGCAAGCUUUACGGAAAAAAUGAAGCCGGUUCCUUACCUAGUCCCAACCGAACUCUCCAAGGUUAACAAGUUUGCCCAUGGAUUACGAGCAGACUUUUGUCGAAUGGUCAAGCAAGAAACCACUUUGAAAGCCGCCAUCUGGGCAGCCAGGAAUGUUGAGACCCAGAUUAAGGAAACGGGUCUGGAGAGAGCUGAAUUUGGCGAGAAAAGGAAGCAUGAAGGAUCUUCAAAAUCCAACAAAGAAAGGAAAUUCUCAAAGACUGAUGAAGGAGGAGGAGGUGAAGCCAAGUGGUGUGAGAAGUGUAAAAAGAAGCACUUCAGGAAAUAUAGCGUGGAGUUGACUUGGUACAAAUGUGGAAAUACAGGGCAUUACACUGAGAGAUUAAGGAGAUGGAAAUCACUAGUAAUAAUGAAUGUAAGUUCUGUUUAUGCUUAUGUUUCUGUAUUGACGAUGACAUCCCAAAUGUUUUAAAAUGAAUAAAAAUACUUUUGUUUGGAAAUUCUUUGAUAAUGAAAUUAUCAUAUUUUUCUGGGAACAAAUUCCGCAACGUUUUUAUUAAAAGAGAUACUCUGAUUUUUAUAAAGCAUAAACAAAAUCGGUCUUUUUUGGCUGUGAAAUUGGGAUGUCACAGUUGGUACUAGAGCAUUAAUUUAAGUGAACUAGGAAUAUGGAUUUAUUUCUAGACUUAAACUUAGAAUGCUAAGCAAUGAUUGUGAGGAGUGUGUCUUAGGUAAUACACCUAAAUAGACACAAUCACUAGCUUAUUUAGGGAAAACGCCUAACAUGCUUUUAUGUGCUAAAUGAUUUAUGAUGCUAAAUGUAUGAUCGGAUCUAUGGUCUGUUGCCGACCAGAUCUUGAAAUUUUACGUGUACAGAUUUCUAAACGUUUAAUUAUGUUAUUAGAACUGGCAUGUAACUUUUCGGCGUAAUAAGAAGAUUUACCCGUCAAUCGUAAAUAAAAUCUUUCCUAUCUUAGUUCUCGUAAUUUCGCACCGAACAUCUGAUCUGGUGUAUAGAUCAAAAUGGCUAGAACCGGAAGUGGAGUCGGGAACGUGAAUGGAGAUAGGAAUCAAGAGCCCCUAGUGGCUGAACAAAUACCUGUUGUAGUAACCGCACCUGAGCCAAUCACGAUGGUCGGGGUACAAGCGAUGAUCCAAAUGAUGUUGGAUCGUCAAAUGGAGGAAACAAGGCGUUUACUUCAACAAAACCGAGAAGAACGUACGGUACCAAUUGAACAGCCCGAGCUGAAUGAUGGGCAGUCAGAAGGAGAAAACUACAGUGGGACCAUUGGUCAAGCCAACCCACCGAUAGUUAGGCGAAACUACUAGGAUGGAGCAAACGACGGACGUGGAUGCAAAUACAAGGAUUUCAUGGCAUCCAGACCACUGAGUCUAUCCGGAAGCCCGACGCCGGUGGAAGUUAUGGACUGGAUCUCCGAGAUGGCGACAAUGUUUGAGAGUUGCGAGUGUAGCAACAGACAGAAAACCGCUGUUGAAAUCUGGAGUACUGAGCUGGGCGAAGCUACUAGUUGAUUCUAUGCCUAAGGGAGAAGCUAGUAAGAAGUCUUUGGAGGAUUUUCUGGUGCAACUGAAGAUGCAAUACUUCUCUGAGCAGGAUCUUGUGGAGAUCAACAAUGGGUUCCAAAAUUUGAAGAUGGGAAGAAUGAGCGUUAUAGAAUAAACUGCAUGCUUUACGGAAAAGAUGAAGCCGGUUCCUUACCUAGUCCCAACCGAACUCUCCAAGGUUAACAAGUUUGCCCAUGGAUUACCAGCAGACUUUUGUCGAAUGGUCAAGCAAGCAACCACUUUGAAAGCCGCCAUCUGGGCAGCCCGGAAUGUUGAGACCCAGAUUAAGGAAAGGGGUCUGGAGAGAGCUGAAUUUGGCGAGAAAAGAAAGCAUGAAGGAUCUUCAAAAUCAAAAAAAGAAAGGAAAUUCUCAAAGACUGAUGAAGGAGAAGGAGGUGAAUCCAAGUGGUGUGAGAAGUGUAAAAAGAAGCACUUCAGGAAAUGUAGCGAGGAGGUGACUUGCUACAAAUGUGGAAAUACAGGGCAUUACACUGAGAGAUUAAGGAGAUGGAAAUCACUAGUAAUAAUGAAUGUAAGUUCUGUUUAUGCUUAUGUUUUUGUAUUGACGAUGACAUCCCAAAUGUUUUAAAAUGAAUAAAAAUACUUUUCUUUGGAAAUGCUUUGAUAAUGAAAUUAUCAUAUUUUUCUGGGAACAAAUUCCGCAACGUUUUUAUUAAAAGAGAUACUCUGAUUUUUAUAAAGCAUAAACAAAAUCGGUCUUUUCUGGCUGUGAAAAUGGGGAUGUCACAGUUGGUACCAGAGCAUUAGUUUAAGCGAACUAGGAAUAUGGAUUUAUUUCUAGACAUAAACUUAGAAUGCUAAGCAAUGAUUGUGAGGAGUGUGUCUUAGGUAAUACACCUAAAUAGACAUAAGCACUAGCCUAUUUAGGGAAAACGCCUAACAUGCUUUUAUGUGCUAAAUGAUUUAUGAUGCUAAAUGUAUGAUCGGAUCUAUGGCCUGUUGCCGACCGGAUCUGGAAAUUUUAUGUGUACAAAUUUCUAAACGUUUAAUUAUGCUAUUAGAACUGGCAUGUAACUUUCUGAUGUAAUAAGAAGAUUUACCCGUCAAUCGUAAAUAAAAUCUUUCCUAUCUUAAUUCUCGUCAUUUCGCACCGAACAUCUGAUCUGGUGUAUAGAUCAAAAUGGCUAGAACCCGAAGUGGAGUCGGGAACGCGAAUGGAGAUAGGAAUCAACAGCCCCUAGUGGCUGAACAAAUACCUGUUGUAGUAACCGCACCUGAGCCAAUCACGAUGGUCGGGGUACAAGCGAUGAUCCAAAUGAUGUUGGAUCGUCA
Molecule: long non-coding RNA, 3647 nt
Filed under: Lactuca sativa (garden lettuce)
Lineage: Eukaryota; Viridiplantae; Streptophyta; Magnoliopsida; Asterales; Asteraceae
Description: long non-coding RNA (LSAT_LNC004837)
Source: RNAcentral